Molecule: ribosomal RNA, 356 nt
Filed under: uncultured bacterium
Lineage: Bacteria
Description: partial 16S ribosomal RNA
Rfam family: Bacterial small subunit ribosomal RNA
Source: RNAcentral
GUAGGGGGCAAGCGUUAUCCGGAUUUACUGGGUGUAAAGGGAGCGUAGACGGCNNGACAAGNCUGAUGUGAAAACCCAGGGCUCAACCCUGGGACUGCAUUUGNAACUGCNNUGCUNGAGUGCNGGAGAGGUAAGCGGAAUUCCUAGUGUAGCGGUGAAAUGCGUAGAUAUUAGGAGGAACACCAGUGGCGAAGGCGGCUUACUGGACUGUAACUGACGUUGAGGCUCGAAAGUGUGGGGAGCAAACAGGAUUAGAUACCCUGGUAGUCCACGCCGUAAACGAUGAUUGCUAGGUGUNAGUGNGUAUGGACCNAUCGNUGCCCCACCUAACCCNUUAAUCNUUCCACNUGGGNANU